AGGGCACCACCAGGAGUGGAGCCUGCGGCUUAAUUUGACUCAACACGGGAAAACUCACCCGGCCCGGACACUGUAAAGAUUGACGUAUUAAGAGCUACUUCUCGAUUCAGUGGGUGGUGGUGCAUGGCCGUUCUUAGUUGGUGGAGUGAUUUGUCUGGUUGAUUCCGAUAACGAACGAGACUCUAGCCUGCUAAAUAGGCGUCCGAUUAACGGCCUACGUUCGGUCCCCGGCUGGCUUCGGUCGGCCGGUGUGUCUCGGGCGUAGGCAUCGUCGGGCGAAGCCGUUUCACGACGGCGCUACUUCUUAGAGGGACUGGCGGCGUCUAGCCGCACGAAAUUGAGCGAUAACAGGUCUGUGAUGCCCUUAGAUGUCCGGGGCCGCACGCGCGCUACACUGAACGAGUCAACGUGCGUUCGCUUCCCUGUCCGAAAGGACCGGGCAACCCGUUGAAUCUCGUUCGUGAUAGGGAUCGGGGCUUGUAAUUAUUCCCCGUGAACGAGGAAUUCCCAGUAGGUGCG
Molecule: ribosomal RNA, 519 nt
Filed under: uncultured eukaryote
Lineage: Eukaryota
Description: bacterial SSU rRNA
Rfam family: Eukaryotic small subunit ribosomal RNA
Source: RNAcentral